RNAcentral lists this ribosomal RNA (443 nucleotides) under uncultured bacterium. RNAcentral's name for it is "partial 16S ribosomal RNA". It matches the Rfam family "Bacterial small subunit ribosomal RNA", at positions 338 to 795 of the family's 1533-position model. The record is from RNAcentral.
CCUACGGGUGGCAGCAGUGGGGAAUAUUGGGCAAUGGGCGCAAGCCUGACCCAGCAACGCCGCGUGAAUGAAGAAGGCUUUCGGGUUGUAAACUUCUUUUAUCAGGGAUGAAGACAGUGACGGUACCCGAGGAAUAAGCCACGGCUAACUACGUGCCAGCAGCCGCGGUAAUACGUAGGUGGCAAGCGUUAUCCGGAUUGAUUGGGUGUAAAGGGCGCGUAGGCGGGUGAGUAAGUCAGAUGUGAAAACUCAGGGCUCAACCCUGGGCCUGCAUUUGAAACUGUGUUGCUUGAGUGCUGGAGAGGCAAGCGGAAUUCCGAGUGUAGCGGUGAAAUGCGUAGAUAUACGGAGGAACACCAGUGGCGAAGGCGGAUUGCUGGACAGUAACUGACGCUGAGGCGCGAAAGCGUGGGGAGCAAACAGGAUUAGAUACCCCAGUAGUC